GAAGGAGGAGAAGCUCCGCGAGAUGGAGGAGUUCAAGAGGAAGCUUCGCCGCCGGAGGGAGGAGAGGCUGCUCCAGGCCGCCCGGCAGAGCCCCUGAGCCCCCCGAUUCCGAGGGGGACCCCAAAGGGCCCUGAGCCCCCCGAUUCCGAGGGGGACCCUAAAGGGCCCUGAGACACCCCACUACCCGAUACCGAGGGGGACCCCAAAGGGCCCUAAAGACCCCCCCAAUGGGCCCUGAGCCCCCCGAUUCCGAGGGGCUCCCCCAAAAAGCCCUGAGGCCCCCCAAUACCCAAGGGGGCCCCAAAGAGCACUGAGGCCCCCUAAUACCCGAGGGGGACCCCCAAAGGGCCCUGAAAAUCCCCAGGGUCCCCCCCAAAGUGCCCCGAGAUCCCCACUACCCAAGGGAGGACCCCAAGACCCCUCCCCUCCCCGAGAGGUCCCCCAAAAGGGCCCAGAGACACCACUAAUACCCAAGGGGGCCCCCCAAAGAGCGCUGACAAUCCCCGGGGUCCCCCCCAAAGUUUCCCUCCAAACCGGGGUCCCCCUCGAGGAAAUGACACGUUCGCUCCAUAAAAGCUCAGCUCGUCU
Molecule: long non-coding RNA, 588 nt
Filed under: Meriones unguiculatus (Mongolian gerbil)
Lineage: Eukaryota; Metazoa; Chordata; Mammalia; Rodentia; Muridae
Description: lncRNA (ENSMUGG00000002013.1)
Source: RNAcentral